ACUCAAAUGAAUUGACGGGGACCCGCACAAGCGGUGGAGCAUGUUGUUUAAUUCGAAGCAACGCGAAGAACCUUACCUACCCUUGACAUACCGGUUGGGACUGCCAGAGAUGGCGGUUUUCAUUUAGUUGGACCGGAUACAGGUGCUGCAUGGCUGUCGUCAGCUCGUGUCGUGAGAUGUUGGGUUAAGUCCCUCAACGAGCGCAACCCCUAUUGUUAGUUGCCAUCAGGUUAUGCUGGGCACUCUAGCGAGACUGCCGGUGACAAGCCGGAGGAAGGCGGGGAUGAUGUCAAGUCAUCAUGGCCCUUACGGGUAGGGCUACAAACGUGCUACAAUGGUGGUGACAGUGGGCUGCGAGGCUGCAAAGCCAAGCCAAUCCCCAAAAGCCAUCUCAGUUCAGAUUGUCCUCUGCAACUCGAGGGCAUGAAGUCGGAAUCGCUAGUAAUCGUGGAUCAGCAUGCCACGGUGAAUACGUUCCCGGGUCUUGUACACACCGCCCGU
This 501-nucleotide ribosomal RNA is filed under the name uncultured bacterium. RNAcentral's name for it is "partial 16S ribosomal RNA". It matches the Rfam family "Bacterial small subunit ribosomal RNA", at positions 899 to 1397 of the family's 1533-position model. The record is from RNAcentral.